RNAcentral lists this ribosomal RNA (494 nucleotides) under uncultured bacterium. Its description in RNAcentral is "bacterial SSU rRNA". It matches the Rfam family "Bacterial small subunit ribosomal RNA", at positions 30 to 512 of the family's 1533-position model. The record is from RNAcentral.
AUUGAACGCUGGCGGCAUGCCUUACACAUGCAAGUCGAACGGUAACAGGUCUUCGGACGCUGACGAGUGGCGAACGGGUGAGUAAUACAUCGGAACGUGCCCGAUCGUGGGGGAUAACGAGGCGAAAGCUUUGCUAAUACCGCAUACGAUCUACGGAUGAAAGCAGGGGACCGCAAGGCCUUGCGCGGACGGAGCGGCCGAUGGCAGAUUAGGUAGUUGGUGGGAUAAAAGCUUACCAAGCCGACGAUCUGUAGCUGGUCUGAGAGGACGACCAGCCACACUGGGACUGAGACACGGCCCAGACUCCUACGGGAGGCAGCAGUGGGGAAUUUUGGACAAUGGGCGCAAGCCUGAUCCAGCAAUGCCGCGUGAGUGAAGAAGGCCUUCGGGUUGUAAAGACUCUUUCAGUUGAGAAGAAAAGGAAUUGUGACUAAUAAAUUAGCAAUUCAUGACGGUAUCAACAGAAGAAGACACCGGCUAACUACGUAGCCAGA